UGCCAGCCGCCGCGGUAAUACGGAGGGUGCAAGCGUUAAUCGGAAUUACUGGGCGUAAAGCGCGCGUAGGCGGAUGUUUAAGUUUCAUGUGAAAGCCCUGGGCUCAACCUGGGAACUGCAUGGAAUACUGGACAUCUAGAAUACAGUAGAGGGAGGUGGAAUUUCAGGUGUAGCGGUGAAAUGCGUAGAGAUCUGAAGGAACAUCAGUGGCGAAGGCGGCUUUCUGGACCGAUACUGACGCUGAGACGCGAAAGCGUGGGGAGCGAACAGGAUUAGAUA
RNAcentral lists this ribosomal RNA (279 nucleotides) under uncultured bacterium. Its description in RNAcentral is "partial 16S ribosomal RNA". It matches the Rfam family "Bacterial small subunit ribosomal RNA", at positions 506 to 784 of the family's 1533-position model. The record is from RNAcentral.